This 495-nucleotide ribosomal RNA is filed under the name uncultured bacterium. Its description in RNAcentral is "partial 16S ribosomal RNA". It matches the Rfam family "Bacterial small subunit ribosomal RNA", at positions 28 to 507 of the family's 1533-position model. The record is from RNAcentral.
GACGAACGCUGGCGGCGUGCCUAAUACAUGCAAGUAGAACGCUGAAGGAGGAGCUUGCUUCUCCGGAUGAGUUGCGAACGGGUGAGUAACGCGUAGGUAACCUGCCUGGUAGCGGGGGAUAACUAUUGGAAACGAUAGCUAAUACCGCAUAACAGUAGAUAUCGCAUGAUAUCUGCUUGAAAGGUGCAAUUGCAUCACUACCAGAUGGACCUGCGUUGUAUUAGCUAGUUGGUGAGGUAACGGCUCACCAAGGCGACGAUACAUAGCCGACCUGAGAGGGUGAUCGGCCACACUGGGACUGAGACACGGCCCAGACUCCUACGGGAGGCAGCAGUAGGGAAUCUUCGGCAAUAGACGGAAGUCUGACCGAGCAACGCCGCGUGAGUGAAGAAGGUUGUCGGAUCGUAAAGCUCUGUUGUAAGAGAAGAACGAGUGUGAGAGUGGAAAGUUCACACUGUGACGGUAUCUUACCAGAAAGGGACGGCUAACUACGUG